AUACGUAGGGGGCAAGCGUUAUCCGGAUUUACUGGGUGUAAAGGGAGCGUAGACGGUAUGGCAAGCCCGAUGUGAAAACCCGGAGCUCAACUCCGGGAUUGCAUUAGGAACUGUCAAACUAGAGUGUCGGAGAGGCAAGUGGAAUUCCUAGUGUAGCGGUGAAAUGCGUAGAUAUUAGGAGGAACACCAGUGGCGAAGGCGGCUUGCGGGACGAUGACUGACGUUGAGGCUCGAACGCGUGGGGAGCAAACAGGAUUAGAUACCCUGGUAGUCCACGCCGUAAACGAUGACUACUAGGUGUCGGGUACCACAGGUAUUCGGUGCCGCAGCAAACGCAUUAAGUAGUCCACCUUGGGAGUACGUUCGCAAGAAUGAAACUCAAAUGAAUUGACGGGG
This 396-nucleotide ribosomal RNA is filed under the name uncultured bacterium. RNAcentral describes it as "partial 16S ribosomal RNA". It matches the Rfam family "Bacterial small subunit ribosomal RNA", at positions 523 to 918 of the family's 1533-position model. The record is from RNAcentral.